UGCCAGCAGCCGCGGUAAUACGGAGGGUGCAAGCGUUGUUCGGAUUUAUUGGGCGUAAAGCGAGUGUAGGCGGCUUAGAAAGUCGGAUGCGACAUCCCAGGGCCCAACCCUGGAACUGCAUCCGAUACUGUUAAGCUAGAAUUCCGGAGAGGGUGGCGGAAUUCCCGGUGUAGGGGUGAAAUCCGUAGAUAUCGGGAGGAACACCAGUGACGAAGGCGGCCACCUGGACGGUAAUUGACGCUCAGACUCGAAAGCGUGGGUAGCAAACAGGAUUAGAUACCCUGGUAGUCCACGCCGUAAACGGUGAGAGCUCGUCGUAGUGGGUAUUGACCCCUGCUGUGACCAAGCUAACGCGUGAAGCUCUCCGCCUGGGAAGUACGGUCGCAAGACUAAAACUCAAAGAAAUUGAUGGGGGCCCGCACAAGCGGUGGAGCAUGUUGUUUAAUUCGAAGCAACGCGCAGAACCUUACCUGGAUUUGACAUCUUCGGAAUCUCCCUGAAAGGGGAGAGUGCCUUCGGGAGCCGGAAGACAGGUGCUGCAUGGCUGUCGUCAGCUCGUGUCGUGAGGUGUUGGGUUAAGUCCCGCAACGAGCGCAACCCUUAUCGUUAGUUGCUAGCAGUUCGGCUGAGCACUCUAGCGAGACUGCCGGUGUUAAACCGGAGGAAGGUGGGGACGACGUCAAGUCCUCAUGGCCUUUAUAUCCAGGGCUACUAACGUGCUACAAUGGUCGGUACAGAGGGUCGCGAACCUGCGAAGGCAAGCCAAUCCCACAAAGCCGGCCUCAGUUCGGAUUGAAGUCUGCAAUUCGACUUCAUGAAGGCGGAACCGCUAGUAAUCGCGGAUCAGCAUGCCGCGG
RNAcentral lists this ribosomal RNA (857 nucleotides) under uncultured delta proteobacterium. Its description in RNAcentral is "bacterial SSU rRNA". It matches the Rfam family "Bacterial small subunit ribosomal RNA", at positions 506 to 1362 of the family's 1533-position model. The record is from RNAcentral. Lineage: Bacteria; Deltaproteobacteria.